AACUGAUGCUCUACGAACAUUACAAAUUGUUAAAAAAAAAUACUCUAGUAGUUAUAACUAUUUUUUUUAUUUUAAAUUUCCUUUUGUUUUUUAAAUAAUAUAAUUAUAUUAUUGCACACAAAAAAAACUUAUGAUAUGGUCAUAAUUAACUCAAUUGAGAUAGUUACAUACAUAUACAAAUGCGACAUAAAUUAAUAAAUUUCAAAAGUUAAUAUUGUAUAUUGGGUAUAUAAGGGAAAAGUCAAACCGAGAAUCGGAAAUCAUUAGGUUUGGGGUAUUGGAGCUUAGAUCACAGUCUAAAUCGAUUUCAUUCAUAUUUAGCGUUAAAUAAUAAUGGUUGUUUCAAUAUAUUUAUUUCAAUUGACCUCAAUAACGCAACGGUACACGUUUGACAAUCAAAACGAUUACGCUGAAAAAUAAUAGGUGAACUAAUUUUCAACCGCAGAUUAUGUUAGUGUAUCUAGAUAAUUUAGAAAUAAAAUUUGAAAAAGUAUAUAUGUAUUAAUUUUCAUCAACAAUAAUAAGUGUUUUAAAAUACUUCUCAUCGCCAGCUAAGAACUGUUGCAUCUGGAAAUUUAUUUCGUUAACAUCUACAUUUCUGACCGCUAAUGUAAUCCGAUUAUUGAGCCACGUGUACAUGUAAUUAAUUUUAAUUUCCGGAAUACUCUCAAUUAAUCAAUUUUUUUCGUGAACUGCAUGCAGAAAUUGUCUAGCUGCUUAAUGUAAUGAGUGUUUGACUGCAGUUCUAUAAACAAAAGGAACAAUGAUAAUACAUCAACCGCUUGCUUUAUGAAACUGAGUAUAACCAGAUAUGUGCGAUAGCCGAACUAAGCUCACUGCGUUGCUACAGGUUGCUACCACUGAAAAUCCAAGAUGGCCGCUAUUCACCCCCCAGAAAGCUACCACGAAAA
Molecule: long non-coding RNA, 911 nt
Organism: Bactrocera dorsalis (oriental fruit fly)
Lineage: Eukaryota; Metazoa; Arthropoda; Insecta; Diptera; Tephritidae
Exons: 2
Source: RefSeq, a predicted model, not a curated record